CCAAGGUCACGGCGCAGUCAGGGGUCAUAAAGGCGUGAGGGGUCACAAUGGGGUCGGAAGCAUGCGGGGGGUCAGGGCAGAGCCCGCGUGACCCCCAAAGUAGUCCCCUGUCGCUCAUCGCCAGGUUCUCGCCGAUCGCCAUCGACGGUAUGAGCGGCCUGGCGGGCGUGGGCCUGUCGGGGGGCGCGGCAGGCGCUGGCUGGUGCAUCUUCGUGUACAACCUGUCACCGGAGGCGGACGAGAGUGUGCUGUGGCAGCUGUUCGGGCCCUUUGGGGCAGUCACCAACGUCAAGGUCAUCCGCGAUUUCACCACCAACAAAUGCAAGGGGUUCGGCUUCGUGACCAUGACCAACUAUGACGAGGCGGCCAUGGCCAUCGCCAGCCUGAACGGCUAUCGCCUGGGCGAGCGCGUGCUGCAGGUCUCCUUCAAGACCAGCAAACAGCACAAGGCGUGAGCCCGCCCCGCCUGCCCUCCCACCCCCUCCCCGGGCAGCAGAGAGAGAGAAAGAGAGAGAGAGAGAGAGAAGGGGCCCAAGAGAGACAGCACAGGCAGCCCCACGGACGACGCGAGGGCCCCACGUCCCUGCGGAAGCCACAGGGUGAGCACUCCGGGGUGGGAGGGUCUGCAGGGAAUGGGGGGGUGCCCGGGGAUCCCCCGCCCCAUCCUCCUGCCCCCACCCCAGGCUGGGCUGUUCACUCUCUCGUCUUGGUUUGGUUCAUGGUGAAGGUUUUUGUUUCUUUUUUCCGGCUAAAAAGAAUGCAGAGAUGUGCCCCCACCCCCACCCCCGACCACCCCCGAUGGGAUGGCUUGCGGGGCUCCAGGGGGUGCCCUCCCAGACCCCCUUGCCCAGGCCUCCCCAGCACCUAGGUGGGGCCUGGGGUAGGAGGAACAGGUUUAAAAAUCCCCAAAAAAGCGAACCGUGAGGAGGGGUGUGGGCACCCCCAGCCCAGUGCCCCCUGGUGGAAUGCGGGGAGCAGGCAGUGGGGCUGGAAGCAGGAACAAAUGAAAAAAAAAAGGGGGGGUGGGAGGGGAAGAAAAACUCUAUUUUUGUAAAAAGGGAAAAAGACCUCGUGGAGAAUUUUUACUGGGGAUUCUUGAACUUGAAAAAAAAAA
Mandrillus leucophaeus (drill) is the source of this 1114-nucleotide RNA transcript. It is a transcript of the gene named ELAV-like protein 3 pseudogene, with no coding region annotated. Lineage: Eukaryota; Metazoa; Chordata; Mammalia; Primates; Cercopithecidae. The transcript has a single exon. The record is from RefSeq and is a predicted model, not a curated record.